AAGCGCUUAUGACCAGACUUGGGCCCGGUGGAUCAUCCAGCGUUCUCGCUGGUGCACUUCGCCGGGCUCAGGCCAGCAUCAGUUUGCCCCGGGGGAUAAAGGCUCUGGGAAUGUGGCUCCUCCGGGAGUGUUAUAGCCCGCUGCGCAAUACCCUGGGGCGGACUGAGGUUCGCGCAUCUGCAAGGAUGCUGGCGUAAUGGUCAUCAGCGA
RNAcentral lists this ribosomal RNA (210 nucleotides) under Cordyceps fratricida. RNAcentral describes it as "partial large subunit ribosomal RNA". Lineage: Eukaryota; Fungi; Ascomycota; Sordariomycetes; Hypocreales; Cordycipitaceae. The record is from RNAcentral.